GAUAAAUGGAAAAUAAUCCAUACCUAGAGAAAUAAUAGUGAAACUGCAAUGAAUAAAAAGUAUCUUAAAAACUGCUCAGUGGAAAAAGGAUGGAUUACCUCAAAAGGCCUCUGUCUUCUUAACAGUAACAUUGGAAACAGAGCAAUAGAAAAAUAUCCUCAAAAUGUGGAAAGAAAAUAACUCUUAACUGAAGAUCCUCUACACAACAAAUACUCUUCAAAAAUGAUAGCAAAAUAAAGACAUUAAAAUAAAGAUGGAGAGAAUGUAACAGCAGCAUAACCACACUAAGGAAGGAAAACACAAAAAGAGUUUUUGGGCAGAAGGAAAAUAAGCCCUGCUGGAAGAUUAAAUUUUGGCAAGAAAAUAAAAAUUGUGAAUAUAUGUAUAGUAUAACUAAAUGAACACUUUCUGCAUAAAAUGAUUAUGAUACUGCAUUAUAUGGGAUUUCAGUAUGUAUGUAUGUUGGUGUUUAACAGAAAUGUAAUAAGACGGGGAUAGAUGUUCCAAAGUCCUUGCAUUAUCUCAGAAAAUGGUGAAGGUUAAUAUUAUACUUAGGACAUAGUUUUAAGUCCUUGUUGCCUUAGAUUAGGCAAUCAUUUCUUAGAUAUAACAUCUAAAGCAGGGAGUCCCUAACCUCUGGGCCACGGACCCAUACCAGUCCAAGGCCUGUUAGGAACCAGGCUGCACAGCAGGAGGUGAGUGGCUGUGAACAAAACUUCAUCUGUAUUUACAGCCACUCCCCAUGGCACCCAUUACUGCCUGAUCGCCGCUUCCUGUCAGAUCAGUGGUGGCAGCAGAUUCUCAUAGGAGUGUGAACCCUAUUGUGAACUAGCAUGUGAGGGAUUUAGGUUGCUUGCUGCUUAUGAGAAUCUAAUGCCUGAUGAUCUGUCACUGUUUCCCAUCACCCCCAGAUGGGGCUAUCUAGUUGCAGGAAAACAAGCUCAGGGCUUCCACUGAUUCCACAUUAUGGUGAGUUGAAUAAUUAUUUCAUGAUAUAUUAGAAUGUAAUAAUAGAAAUAAAGUACACAAUAAAUGUAAUUGCUUGCAUUAUCCAGAAACCAUGCCCUCGCUCCAACCCCCCAGUCUGAAAAAACUGUUUACCACAAAACCAGGCUCUGGCACCAAAAAGUUUGGGAACCACUAAUCUACAAAACACAAGCAAUUCCCCACCCUUCAAAAGGAAAAAUUUGACUUCACCAAAAUUUGAAACUUUUGUGCUUCAAAGGACACUAUCAAGAAAAUGAAAAAACAACCCACAGAAUGGGAGAAAAUAUUUUCAAAUCAUAUAUUUGCUAAGCCUUAAUGUCCAAAAUAAAGAACUCCUAUCAACAAUAAAAGGACAACCCACUUAAACAAUAGGCCAAGGACUUGAAUGCUUUGAUCUAAGGAAGAUAUACAGAAGGCAAAUAAGCACAUGAAAAGAUUCUGGAAUUAAAAAGUGAUCAUGGUUGCACAACGUUGUGAAUGUGAUAAACACCAGUCAGUUAUGCACUUUAAAGAAUACAUUUUGUAGUAUGUAAUUGUACCUCAAAAAAUAAAGUGACAAUCAUAUACACUCAAAGUAGCAAUGCAUAUUACAGUUAUUUAGCCUACAUUUUGACAAAUUCUGUGACAAGGUGGGAAAAAUAUAUAGUCAUUAGAGAUGGGUAUAGGUCUGGGUUCAAAUCCAGUCCACCCCUUAAUGGCUGUGUGUUCCUGGGAAAAUCUCACUGAAAUCAGUUUUCUCCUCUGCAUAAUGGAGAUAAUAGUUCACUUGAAGUUUGUGGUGAGGAUAGCUGUAAUGUGUAAAAAGAUACUUGUAAAGAUCCAGAACAGCUGGAUCCUUUGAAAUGACAAACCCAAACCAAAAAAUAUUUCAAAAAGACUGAUAUAAUAGCUGACAAUCUCUACAAUAAGCUCAUAAAAUAUUGAAUUUAUUUGUAAAUAUAUGGUAUUUGCAGAAAGAAAAGAAGUAGUGGUCUGAACAUGGGAGAUCUGGAGAUCCUUCAAAAGAAAACUGAAGAGGCUGACUUAGACUUAAGUUCUUCAGGAAGAGAGACUGCGCUACUCACCUUCUUAGCCCCAUUGCAUUUUACUUCACCUGAUAUAUGGACAUGUUUCAUACAUGUUAAUGAAAGAAGAAGAGUAAUAUUAUACCUUGGAAAGUUGAUUUCUAGGGUAGGUUUUUUGAAAAUUUUUCAGAUAGAGUAUAAAGAGGGUAAAACUUCCAAACUAAUGUGGGAGUGGAUAAUGCAAUAAUAAAAAGCAAUCUAAAAUAAUAAGUGAAAAAGAAAUGUAGCCAGUGAAGAGAAAUAAAAGUACAAUAAGAGGGUGGUAUUUAAGUUCAUACAGUAAUUACAUUAAAUUGCAUAUGAUCUGAAUUCCUAGUUAAAAGACAAAGAUUGUCAGACUAAAUAGAAAACCAACACAGGCUGUUUACAAGAGACACAUAUAAAACAAUUACUGUUAUAUUUUAAAUUACUUUGAUAAAAAUUAGCUACCAAAAAACUAGCUAUAGGUCAUAUAUCGAAUGGUGAAAGAUUGAAAACUUACCUUUGAGAUUGGGAACAAGGUAAGAUGUCCUAUUUAGUUCAAUAAGACAAACAAAGGAAUAAAAAGUAUAAUGAUGGAAUAAAUAAAACUCAUUUUUCAGUGAUGAUAUGAUUGUGUACACCUGAUAUAUGUACACAGAAAAUUCAGAUCUACAGAUGUACUAUUCCAAUUAACAUCAAUGGGUUACUGGAAAUAAUUUCUAAUAAUUUGAUAAGUAAUUUCUAUCAAAAAUAAAAAAAUUUAAAAGUUACUAUCUAAAAGCAUACAAGUAUCAAAUUUCUGAGCAAUAAAAGAUUUGUAAGACUUCUUUAGAUAAAACAAUAAGAUAUCAAUAAGAAUCAAAGAGAACCUAAUUAAACAUGUACAUGAUAAAAAUUGGUAGACUCAUUGUAAAGAUAGUCUUCCUUAAAUGUAUCUAUAAUCAGUGCCAAUGCAGUAAAAAUUCAAAGAUACAAAAUUCAAGGAUGAAUCUAAAUUUUAUAUAGAAAUGUAGCAUCGGCUAGGCGCUGUGGCUCACGCCUGUAAUCCCAGCACUUUGGGAGAUGAAGGGGGGAGGAUCACGAGGUCAGGAGUUCAAGACCAGCCUGGCCAACAGGUGAAACCCUGUCUCUACUAAAAGUACAAAAACUAGCCAGGCAUGGUGGUGCAUGCCUGUAAUCCCAGCUACUUGGGAGGCGGAGGCAGGAGAAUCACUUGAAACUGGGAGGCAGAGGUUGCAGUGAGCUGAGAUCACUCCAUUGCACUCCAGCCUGGGAGACAGAGCAAGACUCCAUCUCAGAAAAAAAAAAAAAAAAAAAAAAAAAAAAAAUAUAUAUAUAUAUAUAUAUAUAUAGACAUCAAGGUUAAGCCAGGACAAGAGCAAGAGCAAGGUGGGGAGAUUCACUCUGUUAUCCGGUCUUUUCAAUAGCAGUGAAGAUAAUGUGCAAGCCAGAUGUGAUGGCACAUGCCUGUAGUCCCAGCUACUUGGGUGGUGGUGUGAGACUGUAGUCCCCGCUACUUGGGAAACUGAAGCGGAAGGCUUGCUUGAGCCCAGGAGUUCAAGUCCAGCGUGGGCAACAUAGUAAGACCCUAACUCUUAAGAAAAGAAAAAGUGGAAAAACUACCUAUCAGGCUGGGCAUAGUGGCAUGCGUCUGUAGUCCCAACUACUCGGGAGGCUGAGGUCAGAAGAUCACUUCAGCCUAGGAGUUUGAGGCUGCAGUGACCCAUGAUCAUGCCACUGCACCACUCCAGCCUAGGCAACAGUAAGACCCUGUCUAAAACAAAACAAAACAAAACCAAACAACAACAACAAAAAAAAAAAACUAUCUAUCAGGUACUAUAAUAUGUUCACUACUUGGGUGAGGGGAUUAUUAGAAGCCUACCUCAGCAUCAUGCAAUAUACUCAUGUAACAAACCUGCACAUCUACCCCUGAAUCUGAAAAAAAAAAAAAAAAAAAAAAAAAAAAAAAAUUGAAGAAGAUAAUAUGCAGUUUGUGCAAGGGUAGAUAAGCAGACCAAAGGAAAAGAGUCAAGAGCCCAGAAAGAGAGCUGUGCAUAUAUGAACACUGAUUUAUAACAAGGGAAGUACUGCACAGCAGUGGAAAGAGGAUGAGCUUUUCAAUACAUGAUACAAUCUAUAUUGGAUCUCAUCACACCAUACAAAAAUCUGUUCCAGUUAGAUGGUAGCCCUAAGUACAAAAAGCAAAACAAUAAAGAUACUGGAGGAUGUCAUGGUCAUUAAUGUCGCCCACCAAAUAUUUCUAGUUCCUUUUCGGGUCCAUGCUAGGAUUAUAAUUCCCUACCCCUUGAAAUUGUGUAUAGCCACAUAACUUGCUUUGGCUAAUGUCAUGUGACUGGAAGUGAUAUGUGCUACCUGCGGAAUUUUUCAAAGCCAGUGAGUGAUCAUUCUGUUCUUUUUCCCACUGUAAUGACAAUUUGCGAUGUUCCAGUUGUCAGCCUAGGUCUCAGUUUGAGAACAAGCCAAUCUGGCUGGAUGAGCAAAAUAAACAUGAGCAAAAGUAAACCCAGUGUUUUAACGUGAUGAGAUUCUUGGAGUUGUUGAAACGUAACUUGGAUUAUGCAUAUUGAUAGAAAUUGCUAGGAGGAACAGGAUGCUUUUGUAGCAAAAAGUUAUUAAUAUAUGUAUUAAUGAUUUAAAAGUUGAUGGUAGGUGAUAAUGAAGGAUGAAAGGGAGAUCCAUGUUAUCCAGGAGCAAAGUAUUUGUUGAGCUGUUGUGUGCAGUAAAUUAUAAGAUAAUAACACACCGAAUGAAUUUGUGACUAUAAGGGAAAGAACUGGAAAACAGAAUGUGUUGCCUGGCAGUGUUUGCAUUACACAGGGUAUUACGUGGAAGAGAUAAACUCAUAUAUAUGUAAAUGGCCAUUUGGUAGCAGAAAUAAAAAAUAAUAUAGUCUAGAAAUUUGGGGGAUUUAAGAGUUGGAAAACACAACUGCUCUUAACCAUAACCACUAACAGAUAAACCUGAGAGAGCUUUGAGCAACAAAGAUUAAACUCAGCCUUGUGGCAAAGAUUAAAUGAGAUUAUGGUCUUGACACCAUAGUUAAAACCUCUGAAAAGCUUCUGUGAAAGUGUUUGUCUCAGAAUCAAGGUCCAACUAAGGGUGCGUAGCAGUACAUCCUUUCAAUUAGACAAAAUGGUUUAAGGAAAAGAGACUAAAAGUGUGACUGUCUCACUGAAGUCCUGAUAAAUUCAAUUUAUCUGAAAAUAAGUUGAAAGAGAGUCAUGGAAACUAGAAAGCAAUGAAUAGAGCAAAUCUAAGGAGAAUGUCUAGAAAGGAGCUGUUGAUGUAGCUUUUGAAACAUGGAACUGAUUGGACUCCAAUAUAUAAAAAGUGUAUGUUUUUAGGAGGGUUGUGUUGUUAAACCAUAAAUGUAGAUAUUAAAAGUCUGUGACUCUUUGGGACUUGAAAUGACUUUGUACUACCAGCCAUAUAUGGGAAAGAAGCUGAGAGAACUGCACAACUCUCAAGGAGGCAUAUUCUCAAAUGCCCACUCCAGAUGCAGACCAAGAGUAUAAUGGGAAGGGAAUAUAUUCCCAGAGCCUGGAGCCACAAGCUACUAAGAACAAUGGACAAAGGAGCUCUUCCCAAGGAGCAGAAUCUGGACCUAAUCGAGAAAUAUUACAUACCCACCUCUAGAGGGACUUCAGAGUAUCUUCCCAGCCACAUUUCAAAAUUGCUAUGAAUCAGUGACUGCUGUGUUUAAUUUUCUUUCUUUCUUUCUUUCUUUUUUUUUGAGACAGUCUUGCUCUUGCUCUGUUACACAGGCUGGAGUGCAGUGGCACAAUCUCAGCUCACUGCAACCUCCACCUCCCAGGUUCAAGUGAUUCUCCUGCCUCAGCCUCCCGAGUAGCUGGGAUUACACGUGCAUACCAUCACACCCAGCCAAUUUUUGUAUUUUUAGUAGAGACAGGAUUUCACCAAGUUGGCCAGGCUGGUCUCAAACUCCUGGCCUCAAGUGAUCAGCCCACCUUGGCCUCCCAAAGUGCUGGGAUUACAGGUGUAAGCUACCACACCCAGACUAAUUUUCUAAUUUUCCAAUUGGAAGUGUUUAUUGUUAUUAUCUAAUCCCUUUUCCCUUAUUAUAUAUUCACAUUUUGUUUUCUAUGUAAUUAAACUUUUUUACUAAAAUAAAUGUUUUUCUCUGCAACAAAUUUUUAAUAAAUAUGAUUUUUAAAAUGUAUAUUAAAUCACUUUGUAUUUCUUCUCUUAAAGUGUUCUAAGGAAAACUAAUCAUUAAAAUAAAAACUCCAGGGAUUACAGGCUUUAGUUAGAUAUAAAGAAGCAAAGGUCAAAGUUAAGUAAAAUAUUUUGUCUCAAAGGAAUAUAACAAUUGUA
This 6368-nucleotide long non-coding RNA is filed under the name Homo sapiens (human). Its description in RNAcentral is "HSALNT0042867". Lineage: Eukaryota; Metazoa; Chordata; Mammalia; Primates; Hominidae. The record is from RNAcentral.